AUACGGAGGAUCCAAGCGUUAUCCGGAAUCAUUGGGUUUAAAGGGUCCGUAGGCGGGUUUAUAAGUCAGUGGUGAAAGUUUGCGGCUCAACCGUAAAAUUGCCAUUGAUACUGUAGAUCUUGAAUUAGUGUGAAGUGAUUAGAAUAAGUAGUGUAGCGGUGAAAUGCAAAGAUAUUACUUAGAAUACCAAUUGCGAAGGCAGGUCACUAACACUAUAUUGACGCUGAGGGACGAAAGCGUGGGGAGCGAACAGGAUUAGAAACCCUAGUAGUCC
Molecule: ribosomal RNA, 274 nt
Filed under: uncultured bacterium
Lineage: Bacteria
Description: partial 16S ribosomal RNA
Rfam family: Bacterial small subunit ribosomal RNA
Source: RNAcentral